AAAGAAGAUACUGACAAUGGCAGUGACAUGCAGAAGAUAUUAAUAUGCCAGAAAAAGCUAUGGUACUCAUCCAACCAAGGUUCAAGACGACAAAUUAUGGAACUUAAGUUGUGUAACUGGUAAGAUGGUGGUGGUUAGAGUAGUAGUAUAGUGAAGUAGAAGCAAAGGGAAGCGAAUUCAGAGAUGCUCUGGGCAUAUAUUGACCCAAAUUCUAUAAUAUAAUGAGCCAAGAAUUAGUCAAGUUCAAAUUUGUCAAAAGAACAAGGGGUAACCCACUAAUCUGAUUUUGUUA
Molecule: long non-coding RNA, 292 nt
Filed under: Glycine max (soybean)
Lineage: Eukaryota; Viridiplantae; Streptophyta; Magnoliopsida; Fabales; Fabaceae
Description: long non-coding RNA (GMAX_LNC002614)
Source: RNAcentral